ACAGUGAAGCGCCGUAGCAGACCAUCAGGCCCCAAGCUGACAGUGUUGAGUGCCAGGGAAGGACAAGUGGAGUGUCAGCUGGAGACCAACAAGAUGAAGACAGUCUUUCAGUUCAAUUUGGGUGACACAGUGCCUGCCGAUGUAGCAAACAAUUUGGUGCGUGAGAAACUCCUCCCAAGUGCCCAUGCUGAACUGAUCACAGAACUACUUAAG
This is a long non-coding RNA of Homalodisca vitripennis (glassy-winged sharpshooter), 213 nucleotides long. RefSeq lists it as uncharacterized. The transcript has 2 exons. The record is from RefSeq and is a predicted model, not a curated record. Lineage: Eukaryota; Metazoa; Arthropoda; Insecta; Hemiptera; Cicadellidae.